GAAGCAGCCACCAUUUAAAGAGUGCGUAAUAGCUCACUGGUCGAGUGACUCUGCGCCGAAAAUGUACCGGGGCUAAACGUAUCACCGAAGCUGCGGACUGUUCUUCGAACAGUGGUAGGAGAGCGUUCUAAGGGCUGUGAAGCCAGACCGGAAGGACUGGUGGAGCGCUUAGAAGUGAGAAUGCCGGUAUGAGUAGCGAAAGAGGGGUGAGAAUCCCCUCCACCGAAUGCCUAAGGUUUCCUGAGGA
RNAcentral lists this ribosomal RNA (247 nucleotides) under Xanthomonas citri pv. citri. RNAcentral's name for it is "partial 23S ribosomal RNA". It matches the Rfam family "Bacterial large subunit ribosomal RNA", at positions 1109 to 1361 of the family's 2925-position model. Lineage: Bacteria; Pseudomonadati; Pseudomonadota; Gammaproteobacteria; Lysobacterales; Lysobacteraceae. The record is from RNAcentral.